AUGAAAAUAUUAAGUUGGAACUGCCGUGGGAUAGGCGAUCCCGCGACAGUUCGAGAACUCCGCACCCUCGUGGAGCUAAGUUCGCCGUCUAUCCUUUGUUUAGUCGAAACUCAGUUGCAGAAAAGUCGUGUGGAGGGUCUUCGUUCUUCUUUAGGUUUUGAUUUCAGUUUUGGUGUUGGUAGUAGUGGUCGGAGUGGUGGCAUUUGUAUCUUU
This 213-nucleotide ribosomal RNA is filed under the name Triticum aestivum (bread wheat). RNAcentral's name for it is "partial small subunit ribosomal RNA". The record is from RNAcentral. Lineage: Eukaryota; Viridiplantae; Streptophyta; Magnoliopsida; Poales; Poaceae.